Molecule: ribosomal RNA, 429 nt
Filed under: Actinomycetes bacterium
Lineage: Bacteria; Bacillati; Actinomycetota; Actinomycetes
Description: Actinobacteria bacterium partial 16S ribosomal RNA
Rfam family: Bacterial small subunit ribosomal RNA
Source: RNAcentral
UAGGGAAUCUUCCGCAAUGGGCGAAAGCCUGACGGAGCAACGCCGCGUGAGUGAUGAAGGUCUUCGGAUCGUAAAACUCUGUUAUUAGGGAAGAACAAAUGUGUAAGUAACUAUGCACGUCUUGACGGUACCUAAUCAGAAAGCCACGGCUAACUACGUGCCAGCAGCCGCGGUAAUACGUAGGUGGCAAGCGUUAUCCGGAAUUAUUGGGCGUAAAGCGCGCGUAGGCGGUUUUUUAAGUCUGAUGUGAAAGCCCACGGCUCAACCGUGGAAGGUCAUUGGAAACUGGAAAACUUGAGUGCAGAAGAGGAAAGUGGAAUUCCAUGUGUAGCGAUGAAAUGCGCAGGGAUAUGGAGGAACACCAGUGGCGAAGGCGACUUUCUGGUCUGUAACUGACGCUGAUGUGCGAAAGCGUGGGGAUCAAACAGG